RNAcentral lists this ribosomal RNA (433 nucleotides) under uncultured bacterium. Its description in RNAcentral is "partial 16S ribosomal RNA". It matches the Rfam family "Bacterial small subunit ribosomal RNA", at positions 29 to 507 of the family's 1533-position model. The record is from RNAcentral.
AACGAACGCUGGCGGCAUGCCUAACACAUGCAAGUCGAACGAGACCUUCGGGUCUAGUGGCGCACGGGUGCGUAACGCGUGGGAACCUGCCCUUAGGUUCGGAAUAACUCCCCGAAAGGGGUGCUAAUACCGGAUAAUGUCUUCGGACCAAAGAUUUAUCGCGUUUGGAUGGGCCCGCGUUGGAUUAGCUAGUUGGUAGGGUAAAAGCCUACCAAGGCGACGAUCCAUAGCUGGUCUGAGAGGAUGAUCAGCCACACUGGGACUGAGACACGGCCCAGACUACUACGGGAGGCAGCAGUGGGGAAUAUUGGACAAUGGGCGAAAGCCUGAUCCAGCAAUGCCGCGUGAGUGAUGAAGGCCUUAGGGUUGUAAAGCUCUUUUACCCGGGAUGAUAAUGACAGUACCGGGAGAAUAAGCACCGGCUAACUCCGUG